GUGUCUGUCAGCCAGUUUCCCAGCCCCUGGUGCACUGAAGCUCAGGCCUUUCCUGGCAUCCUGGCCUCCUGCACUGAGCUGUGUGAGUGCUUCUGCCCAGGCAGGCCACUUGGCAUUGACCGGUAUAGAUGGUGACCCUGAAGAAAGACUUCAGUUGGGCCUGAAGGCCCCGGGCCAGUGUCCAUCAUCCAGGUGCUCAGCUCCCAGUGCACUGAAGCUCAGACCCUUCCUGGUUCCCUGGUCUCUUGCACUGAGCUCUGAUGGUGAGACUUGAGGAAGACUUCCACUGGGCCUGCUUUUCCUGAGCCAGUGCCCAUCACCCAGGUGCUCAGUCCCUGGUGCACUGAAGCUCCAGCCCUUCCUGGCGCCCUGGUCUCCUGAACUGAGCUGUGUGAGCUCUUCUGCCAAGCGGUUCCCCUGGCAUUGACCAACAUAGAUGGUGAGCCUGGAGGAAGACUUGCGUUGGGCCCAAAGGCCCUAGACCAGUGUCUGUCAGCCAGGUUCCCAACCCCCGAUGCGCUGAAGCUCAAGCCUUUCCUGGCACCCUGGUCUCCUGCACUGAGCUGUGUGAGCUCUUCUGCCCAGGCGGGCCCCCUGGAAUUGAUGGGUAUAGAUGGUGACCCCGGAGGAAAAUUUGUGUUGGGCCCACUAUCCCUGGGCCAAUGUCAGUCAGCUAGGCACCCAGCCCCCAGUGCGCUGAAGCUCAGGACCUUCCUAGUGCCCUCGGCUCCUGCACUGAGCUCUGAUGGUAAGCCUGGAGGAAGACUUGUGUUGGGCCCACAGGCCCCAGGCCAAUGUCUGUCAGCCAGGUGCUCAGCCUCUGGUGCGCUGAAACUCUGACCCUUCCUGGCACACUGGUCUCCUGCACUGAGCUGGGAUUUUCCACCUAGGAGGUCCACCUGGCAUUGACUGACAUAGAUGGUGAGACUUCUGUCGGCCUCGCUUUUCCUGGGCCAGUGUCCAUCAGCCAGGUGCUCAGCCCCAGUGCACUGAAGCUCCAGCCCUUCCUGGCGCCCUGGACUGAGCUGUGUGAGCUCUUCUGCCAAGGGGGUCCUCCUGGCAUUGACCAACAUAGGUGGUGAGCCUGGAGGAAGACUUGCAUUGGGCCCAAUGGCCCUGGACCAGUGUCUGUCAGCCAGGUUCCCAGCCCCCGAUGCGCUGAAGCUCAAGCCUUUCCUGGCACCCUGGUCUCCUGCACUGAGCUGUGUGAGCUCUUCGGCCCAAGUGGUCCCCCCGGCCUUAAGCGGCAUAGUGAGCUCUUCCAAACAGGUGGGCUCCCUAGCAUUGACCGACAGAGUGAGCUCUGCCACCCAGGACAUCCCCCUGGCAUUGACUGGCAUAGAUGCUGACCCUGGAGGAAGACUUGUGUCGGGCCCCCAGGCCCCAGGCCAGUGUCCAUCAGCCAGGUGCUCAGCUCCCAGUGCGCUGAAGCUCAGACCCUUCCUGGCACCCUGGUGUCCAGCACUGAGCUGUGUGAGCUUUUCCACCCAGGUGGGCCCCCUGGCAUUGACCGACAUAGAUGAUGAGACUGGAGGAAGACUUCCAUUGGGCCCACUUUUCCUGGGCCAGUGUCCAUCAGCCAGGUGCUCAGCCCCUGGUGUACUGAAGCUCCAGCCUUUCCUGGUGCCCCAGUCUUCUGCACUAAGCUGUGUGAGCUCUUCCACCCAGGAGGGCCCCUUGGCAUUGACUGGCAUAGAUGGUGAGACGGGAGGAAGACUUGUGUUGGGCCUGCUGUUCCUGGGCCAGUGGCCAUCAGCCUGUUGCCCAGCCCCUGAGGCGCUGAAGCUCAGGCCCUUCCUCACACCCUGGUCUCCUGCACUAGCUGUGUGAGCUCUUCUGCCCAGGUGGGGCCCAUGGCCUUACACGACAUAGGAGCACGCAUUUCUUGAAGUCCUGCAAAGGUGAUGGUGGUCCAGACAGGAGAGGGUUCCUUCAGCCCAACAUAGCGCAGCUCCCAGCUGAAACUCGGAAGGCUGGUCAGGCCUCGAGGACUGCCCAGGCCACAUGAGGGUUUGGUGGCCGGGAGGGCCAAUGAUGCUCUGCGUCUGUGUUGGAUCAGUGUUCUUCAUGGAUUCCAUCACAUGGUGAGCCUUGAGGAAGACUUGUAUUGGGCCCCCACAGGCCCCAGGCCAGUGUCCGUCAGCCUGGUGCUCACCCCCAGUGUGCUGAAGCUCAGACCCUCCGUGGCACCCUGGUCUCCUGCACUGAGCUGUGUGAACUUUUCCUCCCAGAUGGGCCCCCUGGCAUUGACUGGCAUAGAUGGUGAGACCGGAGGAAGACUUGCAUUGGGCCUGUUGUUCCUGGGCCAGUGGCCAUCAGCCUGUUGCCCAGCCCCUGAUGCGCUGAAGCUCGGGCCCUUCCUCGCGCCCUGGUCUCCUGCACUGAGCUGUGUGAGCUCUUCUGCCCAGGUGAGGCCCAUGGCCUUAAGCGGCAUAGAUGGUGAGCCUGGAGGAAGACUUGUAUUGGGACCCUACAGGCCCCAGGCCAGUGUCUGUCAGCCUGGUGCUCAUCCCCCAGUGCGCUGAAGCUCAGACCCUCCCUGGCACCCUGGUCUCCUGCACUGAGCUGUGAUGGUGAGUCUGGAGGAAGACUUGUGUUGGACCCCCACAGGCCCCAGGCCAGUGUCCAUCAGCCUGGUGCUAAUCCCCCAGUGCUCUGGAGUUUGGACCCUCCCUGGCACCCUGGUCUCCUGCACUGAGCUGUGUGAGCUCUUCCACCCGGGCGGGCCCCCGGCAUUGACUGGCAUAGGUGGUGAGCCCGGAGGAGGACUUGCGUUCGGCCCGCUGGUCCCAGUGUGUCCGGAAUUGGUGGGUUCUUGGUCUCACUGACUUCAAGAAUGAAGCUGCGGACCCUCGCUAUGAUGAUAUGGAAGAAAAGCACUCUUUGGCCUGUUGUGACUGGGACAGUUGACAGCACCCAGGUGUCCUUUAAUGAAAAUGCUCUUGACACCAAUGCAUCCUAGCAUCACAGCUUCAGGAAGCCUUCUCAAGUGUGCAUGGGGAGUACUAUGUCUUUCAUCAAUAAUGAAAUCUUCUGAUUUGUAAGACAUGCUGCCAAGAGAUGUGCCAUUCUAUUAUAAAAGAUCAGUAGCUUCCUUUACCGACGUGUAUAUUCUAUCUAGAACAUUGAGCUAUGGAAGACUCCCACCUAAGGGAAUUAGUUUUACACCUUCAGAUAAAGACUGCUGAGAAGAGCACCCUCUGGUGUUGUCACAGAGGCAAGUGCUACCGCACAGGCAUGCUGCAGUGAAUUUAACUGAUCCUCUGUCCCUGCAACCGUUGUUUAAGGAUGCUAUUCUGAAAAGACUGUGGAGGAAGAAAACCCUUUACCCUGUUGUUCAGGGAGAAACUGACACCACUCAACUGCCUGGCACUGAAAAUGUGGCAUCCAGUCCACUUUACCAUCAGUGUUUAAGGAAACCAUCUCUGAUAAGGAUGACUGAGGAAGAGUACUCUUUGGCUUGUUGACACCAGCACAGCUGACACACCCAGAUAUCUGUUUGGUCUCCUGUGAACUUUCAACCAGGAUUUAAGGAUGCCACUCUGGUUAAAAGCUGAAACAACUUCAAGGAAACUUCAGGGAAAAGAGAAGGCCUGGAAUCUGAUCCUCCACUUCAGAGAACAGGGAUCACUUGAACUGGCACAUGUCUCUUGUUUUGCAGAGAGGGAAUUAAUGUGAUACCUUCAUGCUUUUCUAUUCUAUGUGCUACAUAAUUGAAUAUACAAGCAAAUAU
This 3733-nucleotide long non-coding RNA is filed under the name Homo sapiens (human). RNAcentral describes it as "small nucleolar RNA host gene 14". The record is from RNAcentral. Lineage: Eukaryota; Metazoa; Chordata; Mammalia; Primates; Hominidae.